RNAcentral lists this ribosomal RNA (1522 nucleotides) under Escherichia coli. Its description in RNAcentral is "bacterial SSU rRNA". It matches the Rfam family "Bacterial small subunit ribosomal RNA". The record is from RNAcentral. Lineage: Bacteria; Pseudomonadati; Pseudomonadota; Gammaproteobacteria; Enterobacterales; Enterobacteriaceae.
AGAGUUUGAUCAUGGCUCAGAUUGAACGCUGGCGGCAGGCCUAACACAUGCAAGUCGAACGGUAACAGGAAGAAGCUUGCUUCUUUGCUGACGAGUGGCGGACGGGUGAGUAAUGUCUGGGAAACUGCCUGAUGGAGGGGGAUAACUACUGGAAACGGUAGCUAAUACCGCAUAACGUCGCAAGACCAAAGAGGGGGACCUUCGGGCCUCUUGCCAUCGGAUGUGCCCAGAUGGGAUUAGCUUGUUGGUGGGGUAACGGCUCACCAAGGCGACGAUCCCUAGCUGGUCUGAGAGGAUGACCAGCCACACUGGAACUGAGACACGGUCCAGACUCCUACGGGAGGCAGCAGUGGGGAAUAUUGCACAAUGGGCGCAAGCCUGAUGCAGCCAUGCCGCGUGUAUGAAGAAGGCCUUCGGGUUGUAAAGUACUUUCAGCGGGGAGGAAGGGAGUAAAGUUAAUACCUUUGCUCAUUGACGUUACCCGCAGAAGAAGCACCGGCUAACUCCGUGCCAGCAGCCGCGGUAAUACGGAGGGUGCAAGCGUUAAUCGGAAUUACUGGGCGUAAAGCGUACGCAGGCGGUUUGUUAAGUCAGAUGUGAAAUCCCCGGGCUCAACCUGGGAACUGCAUCUGAUACUGGCAAGCUUGAGUCUCGUAGAGGGGGGUAGAAUUCCAGGUGUAGCGGUGAAAUGCGUAGAGAUCUGGAGGAAUACCGGUGGCGAAGGCGGCCCCCUGGACGAAGACUGACGCUCAGGUGCGAAAGCGUGGGGAGCAAACAGGAUUAGAUACCCUGGUAGUCCACGCCGUAAACGAUGUCGACUUGGAGGUUGUGCCCUUGAGGCGUGGCUUCCGGAGCUAACGCGUUAAGUCGACCGCCUGGGGAGUACGGCCGCAAGGUUAAAACUCAAAUGAAUUGACGGGGGCCCGCACAAGCGGUGGAGCAUGUGGUUUAAUUCGAUGCAACGCGAAGAACCUUACCUGGUCUUGACAUCCACAGAACUUUCCAGAGAUGGAUUGGUGCCUUCGGGAACUGUGAGACAGGUGCUGCAUGGCUGUCGUCAGCUCGUGUUGUGAAAUGUUGGGUUAAGUCCCGCAACGAGCGCAACCCUUAUCCUUUGUUGCCAGCGGUCCGGCCGGGAACUCAAAGGAGACUGCCAGUGAUAAACUGGAGGAAGGUGGGGAUGACGUCAAGUCAUCAUGGCCCUUACGACCAGGGCUACACACGUGCUACAAUGGCGCAUACAAAGAGAAGCGACCUCGCGAGAGCAAGCGGACCUCAUAAAGUGCGUCGUAGUCCGGAUUGGAGUCUGCAACUCGACUCCAUGAAGUCGGAAUCGCUAGUAAUCGUGGAUCAGAAUGCCACGGUGAAUACGUUCCCGGGCCUUGUACACACCGCCCGUCACACCAUGGGAGUGGGUUGCAAAAGAAGUAGGUAGCUUAACCUUCGGGAGGGCGCUUACCACUUUGUGAUUCAUGACUGGGGUGAAGUCGUAACAAGGUAACCGUAGGGGAACCUGCGGUUG